Molecule: ribosomal RNA, 254 nt
Filed under: uncultured bacterium
Lineage: Bacteria
Description: partial 16S ribosomal RNA
Rfam family: Bacterial small subunit ribosomal RNA
Source: RNAcentral
CACGUAGGGGGCAAGCGUUGUCCGGAUUUAUUGGGCGUAGAGAGCUCGUAGGCGGCUUGGUAAGUCGGGUGUGAAACCUCCAGGCUCAACCUGGAGACGCCACUCGAUACUGCUAUGGCUAGAGUCCGGUAGGGGAGCGUGGAAUUCCUGGUGUAGCGGUGAAAUGCGCAGAUAUCGGGAGGAACACCAGCGGCGAAGGCGGCGCUCUGGGCCGGAACUGACGCUGAGGAGCGAAAGCGUGGGGAGCGAACAGG